Molecule: ribosomal RNA, 253 nt
Filed under: uncultured bacterium
Lineage: Bacteria
Description: partial 16S ribosomal RNA
Rfam family: Bacterial small subunit ribosomal RNA
Source: RNAcentral
UACGGAGGGUGCAAGCAUUAAUCGGAUUUAUUGGGCGUAAAGGGCGCGUAGGCGGGCCAGCAAGUCAGAUGUGAAAUUUCGGGGCUCAACCCCGAAGCUGCAUUUGAAACUACAGGUCUAGAGGGUAGGCGGAGAAAACGGAAUUCCACAAGUAGCGGUGAAAUGCGUAGAUAUGUGGAAGAACACCGGUGGCGAAGGCGGUUUUCUAGCUUAAACCUGACGCUAAAGCGCGAAAGCAAGGGGAUCAAACAGG